GCCGGAUUAGUAUGAUACUUAGUACGUCGAAUUUAGGUUUCGAAAGAAAAUGAAAUUUAUCUGGUU
This 66-nucleotide transfer RNA is filed under the name Magallana bilineata (tropical oyster). RNAcentral describes it as "tRNA-Leu". Lineage: Eukaryota; Metazoa; Mollusca; Bivalvia; Ostreida; Ostreidae. The record is from RNAcentral.